GACGAACGCUGGCGGCGUGCUUAACACAUGCAAGUCGAACGGAAAGGCCCUGCUUUUGUGGGGUGCUCGAGUGGCGAACGGGUGAGUAACACGUGAGUAAACUGCCCUUGACUUUGGGAUAACUUUAGGAAACUGGGGCUAAUACCGGAUAGGAGCUCCUGCUGCAUGGUGGGGGUUGGAAAGUUUCGGCGGUGGGGGAUGGACUCGCGGCUUAUCAGCUUGUUGGUGGGGUAGUGGAGUACCAAGGCUUUGACGGGUAGCCGGCCUGAGAGGGUGACCGGCCUCAUUGCGACUGCGAUACGCCCCAGACUCCUACCGGCGGCAGCAGUCGAGAAUAUUGCACAAUGGGCGGAAGCCUGAUGCAGCGACGCCGCGUGCGUGAUGACGGCCUUCGGGUUGUAAACCGAUUUCGCCUGUGACGAAGCGUGAUUGACGGUAAUGGGUAAAAAAGCACCGGCUAACUACGUG
RNAcentral lists this ribosomal RNA (468 nucleotides) under uncultured bacterium. RNAcentral describes it as "partial 16S ribosomal RNA". It matches the Rfam family "Bacterial small subunit ribosomal RNA", at positions 28 to 507 of the family's 1533-position model. The record is from RNAcentral.